GGGAAUGGCAAAAUACUCCAUCUAUAGUGCAAACUACGAAAUUGCUUUGUAAAAUGCCCCAAGGAUGAUUGGGUAACAUUUAAAAUAGCAUGGGGAAAAAAAUCUUUUCUGGUUGUUACCUGACACGUUUUGGGCAAGAUUAAAAGCAUAGGCUAUUCUGUUUUAUUUCCAGAAGGGGCUAUCAAGCCUUAGAUCUAUGUGGUCCAAAGACUACAGAUAUAAGAGAAGUCUCUCUCCCCCUCCCCCAGCUACUUGCUCCUGGCUGUGGAAGUCGUGUGAAGAGUGAUCUCCUGCUCCCAUGCCUUGCAUCCUUGAUGGGUUGCAUCUCCCCACACUCUAAGCCCUGAUAAACCCCCUUUCCCUAAGUUGCUUCUCAUCAGGUAUUCGAUAACAAGUCACAAGGAAAAUAAUCAAUUCAUGACAGAAAGACUUAAUGCAGAGAUGGAUCCUUCAAGUCCACUGAGCAAAUUAGCAUGGGAGGAAGCAGUCUGGGGGGCCCGGUUCCGGUAGCCUGUUGCACAGAGAGCAUCCGCCUACCAGGGUGUCCCUCCUUUUGUCAUUGUGGAAUGAAGUUGCCAUCUACAAGUUCACUCUUCAAAACUAUACAUCUGAGCUACAGAUCAACCACUCCUGCCCUAAAAUGUUUUAAGUGAGUUUAAAACAGCAUUCACGGUGCUCUUUGCCUGCACAUGGCCCUGACUCACAGGCUAGACACGCCUACAUUCACUGUCAGCCCUCUGGAUGGAUAUUGCCGUAUCAGGCUGGGCCCAUGAUAUGUGGAAGAGAACUCCCGAGAACGAGACACUGCAUAGUCCAAGGAAGGCAGGGCUGAGUCUGAGAAGACAGUGAGCAUUUAAAACCUACCCUUUCCCCAUUCUCCGAGAGAGAAAGAAGGGCAUAGAAUGAAUAGAACAAGAUCAGUUCUCUUUUCUAGCCUACAGUUUUCUUCUCGCUUCCAAUGGGAGACGCGCUUAUUGAACAUCUAUGCUCCAAUGCUGUGAGAUCUUGCUAAAGAAAGAAGUAUGGAAAGGCAGGGGUCCUUUUGUGAUGGGAGUUCUAACGGGAAGAGAAAAGCACAGAGCUCAAGACCCUGUUGCAUAGGGCCCACCUAGUCAAUAAGAAGGCGGUACCUGGGUGCCUCCCGUGAGGAGAACGUGGUUCUUCAGAAAGGACCAGAAGGACGUGUGAAGAAAGUCGUGCUCUGAACUGGCUUUGAGACACAAUGGUGCCCAACUAGUGGGGGGAGGCUGAGGCUUGGGUAUGCCAUGCCUGGAAGUCCGAACAGCUUGGAGGCUUUGGGAAAGAAAGUUAAGGGGUAUGACUGAGAAACAGCUCUAGAGGAGCAAGACUCUACAACAAUCAUCUUUUCUGCCGUCGCUGCCAAGUCUGUCCCCUGUGUAGGUGGCCUCUGCUCCCGUAUUAGGGAGGAUACAGAAACCCCAAGAGUGUUGAGAAGCCAGCAGUUGCAUCUAAGCUCCCUGGACUUUGGUUCUGCGAGUGGAGGAAUGGAAGGAAGUAAAAAAGAAACACAUGACCUGGUUGCUAGCACAUUAAGCAUCAGAACCAGCACCCCCAGGCUUCCACUGUGAACCAAGGACCAACAGAUCCUUGAUGAUCUUCAACAUCAGACGGGAACUGCUGGGGCACCCAGGCUUGUGGACUGAGAAACUAUUGCAUUGUUAGCCUCUCUGGGAUGAAAAAGCCACCGUGGGACGGCUUUGAACCACUGAGGAACCAGCCUCGAGGACCACACAGCAGGGCCAGAGGGCCCUGACUCGGAGAUGUUAAACCGGCCUGCUGCAGCGGAUCUACACUACUUACUUGGUGGCUUCUUUAAACAGAAGGAACCUCUAUGUGCUGCUGAUGGGCUGUGAGCUGUCACAGCCACUGUGGGAAUCCGGAGAGGGGUCUCUCUGAAGUCCUGCUGAGUCUCCCCACCUCGCUGACUGAAUAAACUGCUUCUGUCACACGUUC
Myodes glareolus (Bank vole) is the source of this 1974-nucleotide non-coding RNA. NCBI's taxonomy places the organism in Eukaryota, Metazoa, Chordata, Mammalia, Rodentia, Cricetidae. The record is from RefSeq and is a predicted model, not a curated record.